RNAcentral lists this ribosomal RNA (543 nucleotides) under uncultured archaeon. Its description in RNAcentral is "bacterial SSU rRNA". It matches the Rfam family "Bacterial small subunit ribosomal RNA", at positions 509 to 1050 of the family's 1533-position model. The record is from RNAcentral.
CAGCCGCCGCGGUAAGACAUAAGGUGCGAGCGUUAUCCGGAAUCACUGGGCGUAAAGGGCAUCUAGGCGGUUUAUUAAGUCAGAGGUGAAAAGCCGAAGCUCAACUUUGGUCUUGCCUUUGAAACUGAUAGACUAGAAUACGGGAUAGGAGGGCGGAACUACAAGUGUAGAGGUGAAAUUCGUAGAUAUUUGUAGGAAUGCCGAUGACGAAGGUAGCUCUCUGGACCGAUAUUGACGCUGAAGUGCGAAAGCUAGGGUAGCAAACAGGAUUAGAUACCCUGGUAGUCCUAGCUGUAAACGAUGAUUACUGGGUGUGGGGGGUCGAACCUCUGUGCCGAAGCUAACGCGAUAAGUAAUCCGCCUGGGGAGUACGGUCGCAAGACUGAAACUCAAAGGAAUUGACGGGGACCCGCACAAGCGGUGGAGCAUGUGGUUUAAUUCGACGCAACGCGAGGAACCUUACCAGGUCUUGACAUCGUACAAAUCUUUUAGAGAUAGAAGAGUGCCGGCUUGCCGGAAUGUAUAGACAGGUGGUGCAUGGCC